Molecule: ribosomal RNA, 388 nt
Filed under: uncultured eukaryote
Lineage: Eukaryota
Description: partial 18S ribosomal RNA
Rfam family: Eukaryotic small subunit ribosomal RNA
Source: RNAcentral
CAGUAGCGUAUAUUAAAGUUGUUGCAGUUAAAAAGCUCGUAGUUGGAUUUCUGGCGUGACGUGCCCGGCCCGCUCGGGUUUUCCGACGUGAGUGCUGGAGCGUGUCCGCCAUCCUUCUAGAGAAACAUGACUCCCGCUAUGCGGUGUGGUCGUGUCGCUCUAGAUCAUUUACUUUGAAAAAAUUAGAGUGUUUAAAGCAGGCUUGCGCUUAUGAAUACAUUAGCAUGGAAUAAUAAUAUAGGACUUCGGCCUAUUUAUUGGUUCUGGGACGAAGUAAUGAUUGAUAGGGAUAGUUGGGGGUGCUUCUAUUAUGUAGUCAGAGGUGAAAUUCUCGGAUUUACAUAAGAGAAACUUAUGCGAAAGCAUUCGCCAAGGAUGUCUUCUUUAA